This 301-nucleotide ribosomal RNA is filed under the name uncultured bacterium. RNAcentral's name for it is "partial 16S ribosomal RNA". It matches the Rfam family "Bacterial small subunit ribosomal RNA", at positions 509 to 807 of the family's 1533-position model. The record is from RNAcentral.
CAGUAGCCGCGGGAAUACGAAGGGUGCAAGCGUUACUCGGAAUUACUGGGCGUAAAGCGUGCGUAGGUGGUGGUUUAAGUCCGUUGUGAAAGCCCUGGGCUCAACCUGGGAAUUGCAGUGGAUACUGGGUCACUAGAGUGUGGUAGAGGAUAGUGGAAUUUCCGGUGUAGCAGUGAAAUGCGUAGAGAUCGGAAGGAACAUCUGUGGCGAAGGCGACUAUCUGGGCCAACACUGACACUGAGGCACGAAAGCGUGGGGAGCAAACAGGAUUAGAUACCCCCUUAGUCCCUGUCUCUUAUAC